Molecule: ribosomal RNA, 327 nt
Filed under: Triticum aestivum (bread wheat)
Lineage: Eukaryota; Viridiplantae; Streptophyta; Magnoliopsida; Poales; Poaceae
Description: partial small subunit ribosomal RNA
Source: RNAcentral
AUGAGGCCUUUUGGCGAAGCCAAGUCAAUUUCGGGCCACCAAACCCUGCAACUGAGGAAAAGGCCCUAUGGAGUAAAGGGAAGCGUGUACGUUGUCACACUCCCCGCCCUCCAAAGGUGCCUAGAGGACGGGCCAGACGCAACAGAGCGACGCCCCAGGAGCGGAUUCCCCACGAGAAGGGUGACAGGAGACGGCCAUCUUGAGGCACAUCACGACCUACAGGCAACACCGGCGGGACUCAGGAAGGUAACCCGAUUGGGAGUCAGAGGAUCCAUAGUACCCGCAGCCUCCCGGCAUCAUACUCAUCAUUUUCUAAAGAAAGGGUAA